CCAUGUUUUUGCUUUGCACGUGACCUGAACCUGAAAACAAAAUGGCGGAUGCCACAUCUGUUGACAAUUAAAAAACAGGAAACUUUCGUCAUCACGAUUGUCCAUCCAUUUUCUUGAACAUUUAAAGCUUUUAGUGGUGCCAUAGUUGUUCAGUACUGGAGUUGCACGAUGAUUAAAGGAAUCCUCGUCUUCAAUAACCACGGAAAGCCGAGGCUCACAAAGUUUUAUCAGUUUUACGCUGAGGAUGUACAGCAUCAGAUCAUCCGAGAAACAUUUCAUCUGGUGUCGAAACGUGAUGACAGCGUCUGCAAUUUUCUUGAGGGGGGAACGUUGAUCGGAGGCUCAGAUUACAGACUGAUUUACCGUCACUAUGCUACUCUCUACUUUGUGUUUUGUGUUGACUCCUCGGAGAGUGAGCUCGGCAUUCUGGAUUUAAUUCAGGUAUUUGUUGAAACUUUGGACAAGUGUUUUGAAAAUGUCUGUGAGCUGGAUCUGAUCUUCCAUGUUGACAAGGUGCAUUACAUCCUGAGUGAGCUGGUGAUGGGCGGCAUGGUGCUGGAGACCAACAUGACUGAGAUCAUCACACGCAUCGAGGAACAGAGCAAGAUGGAGAAGCAAGAGGCGAGGCAGCGAGUGUUGGGAGCGCUGCACAAGAUCGGCGGCAACGCGGGCGUGUACGGGCGCGCCAAGGAGAGCGGCGAGACGGACGGCAUACAGGGAGGCAACAUGUCUCAGCGACAGUCCGCCUUCCUGCCCCUCGGUGUGCGCAUGUGACUGCUCCGCUCCAUCAGGCUAGGAGGUGUUCUGGGACCUCCUCCCUCCCUCCCUCCCUCCCUCUAUCCUCCCAUCCCCACUCGUGGUUGUUGUGCUGUUGUCCAUGUAUUGUUGUUUGGCGUCAUGUCUACCGGCAGUACAUCCCAACCCCCUCCCCCCCUUUCCCAACCCACUCCCCCAACCACCACCACCAGCACGGACGGGCAACAGAUGGGGGGGCGGGAGGCGGAGCAGAGACGUUGGCGGGUAUCUCGGCGGCCCCAGCCCGUGCCGUGUCGGCCGUGAAGGAGAUGAACAUCCCACAGAAGAUCAAGGACAUCAAACUGCCGGACCUGCCCAGCAUCGGAAACCUCAAGUUCUGAGAGAGUGCACGGACUGUUAGCGUGGUGGUGUGCUUGUUGAUGAUGGUUUUGGUGUUCUUCUUGUUGUUCUUGUUCUUGUAUGAGCAAAAGUGUGGAGCUUUAGUGAUGAUGGGAUGACUAGGUGCGUGUGAGAGAAAUAAUGUAUGAAGAGAGGGUGAAGGUGUGAUGGGAGAAAGAUUGAAGAGAGACAGAGACGGACGGAUAGAGACCAAGAGAAAGAGACUUGCAGAUGAAGUGGAAGAGACAGACAGACUCAGACAGAGAGAGAGACA
RNA transcript from Aplysia californica (California sea hare), 1408 nucleotides. It is a transcript of the gene named AP-3 complex subunit sigma-1, with no coding region annotated. NCBI's taxonomy places the organism in Eukaryota, Metazoa, Mollusca, Gastropoda, Aplysiida, Aplysiidae. The record is from RefSeq and is a predicted model, not a curated record. The transcript is spliced from 7 exons.